CAAUUCCUAUUAAAAUUCUGAUGAUGAACUUGGGCCUGGCAGAAUGGCUCCCGCAAAGAAGGGUGGCGAGAAGAAGAGGGGACGUUCUGCCAUCAACGAGGUCGUGACCCGGGAAUACACCAUUAACAUUCACAAGCGCAUCCAAGGAGUGGACUUCAAGAAGCGUGCUCCUUGGGCACUCUAAGAGAUCCAGAAAUUUGCCAUGAAGGAGAUGGGAACUCCAGAUGUGCGCAUUGAUACCAGGCUCAACAAAGCUGUCUGGGCCAAAGGAAUAAGGAAUGUCCCAUAUCGUAUUCGUGUGUGAUUAUCCAGAAAAUGUAACGUGGAUGAAGAUUCACCAAACAAGCUCUAUACUUUGGUAACCUAUGUCCCCGUUACCACAUUUAAAAAUCUACAGACAGUCAAUAUGGAUGAGAGCUAAUUGCUGAUAGUUAAAUAAAGUCAUAAAACUUAAAAAAAU
Molecule: long non-coding RNA, 460 nt
Filed under: Marmota monax (woodchuck)
Lineage: Eukaryota; Metazoa; Chordata; Mammalia; Rodentia; Sciuridae
Source: RNAcentral